RNAcentral lists this ribosomal RNA (203 nucleotides) under Phycisphaerales bacterium. Its description in RNAcentral is "partial 16S ribosomal RNA". It matches the Rfam family "Bacterial small subunit ribosomal RNA", at positions 1 to 220 of the family's 1533-position model. The record is from RNAcentral. Lineage: Bacteria; Pseudomonadati; Planctomycetota; Phycisphaerae; Phycisphaerales.
CAAUUGAAGAGUUUGAUCCUGGCUCAGAUUGAACGCUGGCGGCAUGGCUCAAACAUGCAAGUCGAACGAUGAAAGCUUCUUCGGAAGUGUAUGAAGUGGCGUAAGGGCGAGGAAUAUAUUUCUAUGUACCCCAAAGUCAAGGAUAGCCCAGGGAAACUUGGUGUAAUACUUGAUGUGGUCUCCGGAUCAAAGAUUUAUCGCUU